CCUCCUGAAUCAGAAUCUGCAUUUUAGAAGUCCCCUGGGAAUUUAAUGUACAUUAAAGUAGGAAGAAGUGUUCAUUGAGAACACCUCUUCCUCCAUAAGUGCUGAGAGUGGAGCUCUCCCUGCCCCUGACUCCCAAGCAUGUGGCUUGGCCUGGCCAACAAGAGCACUGCAUCCCCAGGCAACAAUGAUUAAUUAGCUUAGAGGUAAGCAUGUGACACAGGUCAUUCCAAGCACCCUAAAGAUUGGAAUUUGUGUAGGAACUACUCAGCUGAGACCAUCUUUUUUUCCCUAGGACUCCUAGCAGUAAGAGUGACCUGAUCAUGGACACCAUAUGAAACCUGAAAAUGAAACCAACAUUGCAGAAGGACAAGCCAAGAGAUGGGGGAAAAACUGAAUCUUGAUGCCAUCACCUUAGCUCCUGGGUCAAGAGGUGGGCAUCUUUGGCUCUACCACACCUGCUACGUGGCUCUCCAGGAGGUCAAGAGGAAGAGUAACAGUAAUAGCCAGCAUUUACUGAACAUUAACCCUUCUCCAGGCCCUGGGCUAGCAUCUUACAUCAUUUGAUCAUCCCCACAACCAUAUGAGGUGAAGAGAAAGAGAGCAGGACUGGAAGAUUAUUCCCUUCCGAAGUCAAGACACCUGGAUGGCAUCUCUCAAAUACACCCUGUGAUCUGGGUCCCCACAGCAGUUCAGCAGAAAAGUCCAAAUUAGGAAGAAGGCAGUCAAGCCACCUCAGGUUCAAAUUUCACGUCUCCCUUUCUAGCUGCGUGACCCUGGACACAUCACCUAACCUAGCCAACGGGUUGUCACAGUCAUCUUAUCUACAAAAAUUGGAAAAAUAAUCCCAUGUGCCACACAAGGCUGUAUACGGGAUUAAAUGAGGUAGCUCAUAUAAAGCUUUUGGCCCAGUGCUUAGCAAACAGUAGGAGUCCAAUAAAUGCUUUUUUAAAAAAAUAAGUAGUUUGUGAAACUUUUCUCAUCACUAGGAAAAAAGUGUACUUCAAAUACACUUGACCCUUGAACAACACUAUUUGAACUGCACAAAUCCACUUAUUGAUUUUUUUUCAAUAAGGUUAUUGGAAAUUUGGGGGAUAUUUGAGACAAUUUGAAAAAACUCAGAAUAACUGCAUACCUAGAAAUAUCAAAAGAAUUAAGAAAAAAAUGUCAUAAGUGCAUAAAAUAUAUGUAGAUACUAGCCUAUCCUUACAUAGGCAUAGGUGAGUGAUAUUUAAUAUAAAAUUAAUGUGUUAGUUUUCUUACUGUUUUAUAACUUUGCUUUCAAAUAAUUACGUCACCAUACGGUAUGCCUCUUUCUCGUAAUUGGAGAAACUGUGUAUCAGCCUAUCAUCACAGGUGUUUUAUUUUAAAUGUAACAAAGUGUGCAAUAUUGUUUUAUGAAUAUGACCGUGAUACUCUAUGCCAUAAAAUUUUUAUAAUGAUUUAUUCAUUAAUGUAUGCUAGGCUACCGUGAUGCGAUCAUAUCAGUUACACAAGGCCACUGUAAAACAAUCACACUGCUGCUGCUUCCCUAUCAAGGCAUGAAUUGCUGUACCUGUAAAUGAACAUGAAUUGCUUUCUCACAUGACCUUUUAAUUUUUGAUGUCUAGUGUUAGUAGUACUGCAGUGUUUUGUAUCAUGUAAGAUGGUAUUGAUGUAGGUACUAACAUGAUUCAUCUUGUAAACAGACAACAUAAACUUACGGUAGCAAUAAAUACA
Molecule: non-coding RNA, 1716 nt
Organism: Vicugna pacos (alpaca)
Lineage: Eukaryota; Metazoa; Chordata; Mammalia; Artiodactyla; Camelidae
Source: RefSeq, a predicted model, not a curated record